CUAGCGACUUCAGAGUUUGAUUCCUGGCUCAGGAUUAACGCUGGCGGCGUGCAUAACACAUUCAAGUCGAACGGAGUUGGUGCUUCGGUAUCAACUUAGUGGCGGACGGGUGAGUAACGCGUGAGCAACCUGCCUCUUAUUUUGGAACAACACAGGGAAACUUGUGCUAAUACCGAAUAACACAUCUGCUUCGCAUGUAGCGGAUGUCAAAGUGAUUCAGCGAUAAGAGAUGGGCUCGCGUCUGAUUAGGUAGUUGGUGAGGUAACGGCCCACCAAGCCGACGAUCAGUAGCCGGACUGAGAGGUUGAACGGCCACAUUGGAACUGAGAAACGGUCCAG
RNAcentral lists this ribosomal RNA (339 nucleotides) under uncultured bacterium. Its description in RNAcentral is "bacterial SSU rRNA". It matches the Rfam family "Bacterial small subunit ribosomal RNA", at positions 1 to 334 of the family's 1533-position model. The record is from RNAcentral.